RNAcentral lists this ribosomal RNA (437 nucleotides) under uncultured bacterium. RNAcentral describes it as "partial 16S ribosomal RNA". It matches the Rfam family "Bacterial small subunit ribosomal RNA", at positions 29 to 507 of the family's 1533-position model. The record is from RNAcentral.
AGCGAACGCUGGCGGCAGGCUUAACACAUGCAAGUCGAGCGGGCAUCCUUGUGGUGUCAGCGGCAGACGGGUGAGUAACGCGUGGGAACGUGCCCUUCGGUUCGGAAUAACUCAGGGAAACUUGAGCUAAUACCGGAUACGUGCGAGAGCAGAAAGGUUUAUCUGCCGAAGGAUCGGCCCGCGUCUGAUUAGCUAGUUGGUGAGGGUACGGCUCACCAAGGCGACGAUCAGUAGCUGGUCUGAGAGGAUGAUCAGCCACACUGGGACUGAGACACGGCCCAGACUCCUACGGGAAGCAGCAGUGGGGAAUAUUGGACAAUGGGGGCAACCCUGAUCCAGCCAUGCCUCGUGAGUGAUGACGGCCUUAGGGUUGUACAGCUCUUUUCUCCGGGACGAUAAUGACGGUACCGGAGGAAUAGGCCCCGGCUAACUUCGUG